Molecule: long non-coding RNA, 2966 nt
Organism: Daucus carota subsp. sativus
Lineage: Eukaryota; Viridiplantae; Streptophyta; Magnoliopsida; Apiales; Apiaceae
Exons: 17
Source: RefSeq, a predicted model, not a curated record
UAGUAGGCGCACAGACACACAUGAUAUAACAAAACACGGAGAUUAAUAACGCGCUUCCCAAGAUACACAGGCUGGGUUUUCGGGAUUCUCAACCCUCGGAGGCAGAAGAAGAUGAAUUUAGCUACCGGCUUUAACUUCUGCAUUGCUUUUCAAAGAUAUAUAUUCUCCAUUGUCAUUCAAGCUUUUUGGGCUGAGACCAUGGUUCCAGAAUCAUAUUGUUCGGUGUAGGCAUUCCGAGACAUAACCUCCAAGAAGUUUACAUGUUCCGAAAAACAGCUUUGCUUCUCAAAAAUAUAUAUUCUGCAUUACUCUACAAGCUUUCGCGGCUGAGACCGUGGUACCAGAAUCAUAUUGUUCGGUGUAGGCAUUCCGAGACAUUUCCUCCAAGAAGUUAACAUGUUUUCGCGGAACAGUUUCUGGCCAGUGAGUGGAACUGGGAACGAAAAGAUUGCAUUCUUGCUCCUGGUUGCUGCUCUGCUGCUUGGAGCUCAGGAGGUGACAGAUGCUGGCUGGACAUCUCUUUGUUGACGGCCGGGAUUAAAGUUGUUUUUUGCAACAGAGAGUUAAUGAGGGUCGCGUGACAAAAUCAUGCACUAAACAUCUGGAUGACUGAAAAAACCAUAAAAUCAAGGCUUUCAUUCGGUGUUCGGUGUAGGCAUUCCGAGACAUUUCCUCCAAGAAGUUAACAUGUUUUCGCGGAACAGUUUCUGGCCAGUGAGUGGAACUGGGAACGAAAAGAUUGCAUUCUUGCUCCUGGUUGCUGCUCUGCUGCUUGGAGCUCAGGAGGUGACAGAUGCUGGCUGGACAUCUCUUUGUUGACGGCCGGGAUUAAAGUUGUUUUUUGCAACAGAGAGUUAAUGAGGGUCGCGUGACAAAAUCAUGCACUAAACAUCUGGAUGACUGAAAAAACCAUAAAAUCAAGGCUUUCAUUCGGUGUUCGGUGUAGGCAUUCCGAGACAUUUCCUCCAAGAAGUUAACAUGUUUUCGCGGAACAGUUUCUGGCCAGUGAGUGGAACUGGGAACGAAAAGAUUGCAUUCUUGCUCCUGGUUGCUGCUCUGCUGCUUGGAGCUCAGGAGGUGACAGAUGCUGGCUGGACAUCUCUUUGUUGACGGCCGGGAUUAAAGUUGUUUUUUGCAACAGAGAGUUAAUGAGGGUCGCGUGACAAAAUCAUGCACUAAACAUCUGGAUGACUGAAAAAACCAUAAAAUCAAGGCUUUCAUUCGGUGUUCGGUGUAGGCAUUCCGAGACAUUUCCUCCAAGAAGUUAACAUGUUUUCGCGGAACAGUUUCUGGCCAGUGAGUGGAACUGGGAACGAAAAGAUUGCAUUCUUGCUCCUGGUUGCUGCUCUGCUGCUUGGAGCUCAGGAGGUGACAGAUGCUGGCUGGACAUCUCUUUGUUGACGGCCGGGAUUAAAGUUGUUUUUUGCAACAGAGAGUUAAUGAGGGUCGCGUGACAAAAUCAUGCACUAAACAUCUGGAUGACUGAAAAAACCAUAAAAUCAAGGCUUUCAUUCGGUGUUCGGUGUAGGCAUUCCGAGACAUUUCCUCCAAGAAGUUAACAUGUUUUCGCGGAACAGUUUCUGGCCAGUGAGUGGAACUGGGAACGAAAAGAUUGCAUUCUUGCUCCUGGUUGCUGCUCUGCUGCUUGGAGCUCAGGAGGUGACAGAUGCUGGCUGGACAUCUCUUUGUUGACGGCCGGGAUUAAAGUUGUUUUUUGCAACAGAGUGUUAAUGAGGGUCGCGUGACAAAAUCAUGCACUAAACAUCUGGAUGACUGAAAAAACCAUAAAAUCAAGGCUUUCAUUCGGUGUUCGGUGUAGGCAUUCCGAGACAUUUCCUCCAAGAAGUUAACAUGUUUUCGCGGAACAGUUUCUGGCCAGUGAGUGGAACUGGGAACGAAAAGAUUGCAUUCUUGCUCCUGGUUGCUGCUCUGCUGCUUGGAGCUCAGGAGGUGACAGAUGCUGGCUGGACAUCUCUUUGUUGACGGCCGGGAUUAAAGUUGUUUUUUGCAACAGAGUGUUAAUGAGGGUCGCGUGACAAAAUCAUGCACUAAACAUCUGGAUGACUGAAAAAACCAUAAAAUCAAGGCUUUCAUUCGGUGUUCGGUGUAGGCAUUCCGAGACAUUUCCUCCAAGAAGUUAACAUGUUUUCGCGGAACAGGCCCGAGUAGUAGUGCAACACUCAAGCGACACGUGAAGAGCCCUAUAGCAAGCUAUUUUGGUGGGCCUUCCCCCUUAAAAAAUAAAUUUAAUAUCGUGUGAACCAAUAGCCCACAUAUCAGAUAUUAAACUGAUAAGAACAGAUACUACACUUGAUCUUAGCCAAAAGGCCGAGAAAGGUAUGCCUCAACAAAUUGUGUGACAACGUUUAUAAACUGAGAUGGACGGCUUCCAACCCAAAAUAUAUCCUGGUGGUACGUAGUAGAAUCCAGCCACGUAGCCUAGAAGGGGAACUAAACGCGAGCAUAAAUUAUUUAGAGGUUAUAAACUACAUAAGCAAAAAGAGAGAAUCAAAAAAAUUGUAUGACGAGCUGGUAUAGAUGUGAAGCCAGGGGAAAAUGGGUUUGCUCAACCGAGUCAUCCACGGAAACAACACCGCAAAUUUCCUUGCUGCAUUAUUUUUUGCGAAACACGUCAAGUCCAUCGCUAGCAACUCUGUUGCAGUGGAGCAGCAUGAGCAAAUUGAAGUAAUUACUGCACUGAUGAAGAGGUCUGUUGAGACACUUGAUGCUAGGAACAAUGUAUUUCCUUUCUGUCGGUGGAUUGCUUAAAGUUGUAGCUUGAUUAUUUUGGGGGGGAUCCGUACAAAAGGCCCCUCCAAAACUAGGCAUAUGCCACUGUUAGUGAGCACUCAGUAUUCUGUAGUAAAAGGCGAAAAAACAGUUUGCUGUGUGCAAGUCACAUGGCUGUGUUAUUUGGAAGAAGAAACGGGGACAGCAACCUGAUUUAAGAGGACAAGAAAUUAGAC